CUAAAAUGAAGUAUUCUUUUUUAAAGAGAUGAAAUGUUGAUGUGCUUUCAAAGUUUCCUGUAAUGAAAGCUGAUUCUUAAACUUUGUGUCUAAUUUGUUUCUGCUGAUACAUAUGAGCUCCAGGCCCUUAUAUGGCCUUUAGAGUUUGCUCAGUAACACACUUCAGAAUUUACUACCAACUUAAUAGCAUUUUUAAUUUAGUGAAGCAAAAUGGUAAUGUAAUAGUGUCCCUAAAGAAAAAACAGUGUCAUUAUUUUGUGGGUGUUAAAUUCCUCUAAUGAAAUCAAUUCCAAUUUAUGCUCCUUUUGUUAUAAUAUACAACUUUCUUUAAAGUACAAAUAUUCAGCUGCCUGUAGUAAUGGCAUUGCAUGCUUCCACUGAGUGUCCCUGCUAAUGAGAUUGAUGACUGAGAACUAAAGCCAAGAUUGGAGGGGUUGUGUGUAGGCUAAGCAUAUUUGCUUUGAAUACAGAAAACACUGCCAAAGAGAUCUUCUCUUUUUGCUUUGAAGAAUGCAGGAAAACCUUCUUUUCUGCAAUGAAUGCAAAUAACAGAAAACCAGGAACUGGGGAGAGAGCUGGUAUUACUGAAAACCAAGAAAAAAUACUGUCCAUUUCUUAAUCUGGGUCCUAUGACAAGGUUGCUGACAGAAAAGGAACUACCUCCGGCUUGGGUGCCCCGGAUUCAUAGAUGGACAAAAGAAAAAAAUUUUCCUCUAAAUGGUACACAGGAUGGACGUCCAGAGAUCAUGCAAUCUGAGGAAUAAAAAGGUCCAGAAGAAGGAUGGGGACAUGUCCAAAGCCACUCUAGCUGUUUCACACUGCUUACCAAAUCUGACAUAUUGAAGUGAAAAUAUUAAGUAUGUGUUAUUGGAAAAGUAACUUUAGUAUUUCCAGAGAAUAAUAUUAAUGAAAUGUACAAAAAUUUUGUUAGCAAAUGCAUAACAAAAUAUGUAAAACACUGUUGCUUUCAUUUUAGACAUUUUCAUGAUUAGAUUAUGACUGCUAUUUAAGACCAAAAACUGAAAGAGAGAGAAAGAGUAAGAAAAAAUAUAUUACAAUUGAUAUAGUAAUUCAAAAUGUCUUAUCAUAGCGUAUUAAAGAUUCUUGAGUAGCUCACUCUAUUUUAUCUUUUUAUUUCCAGGUCAUUUGAGACUUUUUCUAAGGAUGCACUCACAAAUUAAGAAAAUAAAAAUGUUCACUGGUUAUGGCUGAAAAAAUCUACCAUUUACAAAUAAUCCUUCCUUUUUACUAACAAUUGUUUUCAGAUAUUUAUUAAUUUUGUCUGUAAUAAAUUUACAGAAUCAUAGAUAUAUACAUAUGUAUAAAGGCAGAAGAAAAAUUCUGAACAAUUACCAACAAAAAAAUUCAUGUGGCUGAUCGAGGUAGGGGAGGUUUGAAAUCAAAGGUUAAUUUGAGGUAAUCUCUGCUCAUUAAAAGCUCAAGGUUUAGGCCAGGUGCAGUGGCUCACACUUGUAAUCCCAGCACUUUGAGAGGCCGAGGCUGGCAGAUUGCUUGAGGUAAGGAGUUCAAAACCAGCCUGGGCAAUAUGGUGAAACCUCAUCUCUACCAACAUUACAAAAAUUAGCCAGGAGUGGUGGCUCAUGCCUGCACUCCCAGAUAUUCAUGGGGCUGAGGCAAGAGAAUCGCUUGAAUCUGGGAGGAAGAGGUUGCAGUGAGCCAAGACUGUGCCACUGCACUCUCUAGCCUGGGCAACACAGCAAGACUUGUCUCAAAAAAAAAAAAAAGAAAAAGAAAAAAAAAAGAAAAGAAAAAGAAAAAGCUCAAAAUCUACUUAGACAGAAACAUAAGGAAGGUACUAUGGUAUAAUGGAAUAAAAUAAAAAGAGCUCACUCAAAUGACCUGGGGCACUUUUAAAAGAAAUGAUUUGAGCUAUGAUGUCAUCAUCCGUAA
Long non-coding RNA from Aotus nancymaae (Ma's night monkey), 1911 nucleotides. NCBI's taxonomy places the organism in Eukaryota, Metazoa, Chordata, Mammalia, Primates, Aotidae. The record is from Ensembl.